AUUGCGGGGAUGGAAGAGCUGGGCAGACGGGCCUCAGGGAGGGACAACUGAUUUCAGGACGAUGCGGGAGGACACGCCAGUUGAACCCCAGGGAGCCUGGGGCUAGAAUCCUGGUGGAAUCCCAAGUGGCGAGGGGCCCCAAGAACUAGGCAAAGCAGGAAGACCCGGAGGAAGGGCCAUCUGGCCCUCGUCUUCACGUGCGGGGCGUGGACCCGUCUUGCAGGAGGAAGAAAGGGGCUCUGGAAUCAGAGCUUGGUUUAAGGUCCUCCUUUAUGCGGGAUCCCUCGUGCCCCCAGACUCAGGUGAGCCUCCAGGGCGGCAGAGGCUCAGCUCCGAGCAUCAGGGCGCCCCGACCAGGAAGGCCCCAGCAGGCCACUCCCACAGACCCUGGGCCUUUGACUCCUCAGAAUGCCACCCAUCAGCCGGUAACCGUCCCCUGAAGCCGUCCCCUGAAGCGAGGCCAUCCCACCCAGGGCCCCAGCUCAGCUGGAAUCUGCCCAGCUGGCUGCUGGGAGCCUGC
Globicephala melas (long-finned pilot whale) is the source of this 520-nucleotide long non-coding RNA. RefSeq lists it as uncharacterized. NCBI's taxonomy places the organism in Eukaryota, Metazoa, Chordata, Mammalia, Artiodactyla, Delphinidae. The record is from RefSeq and is a predicted model, not a curated record.